This 725-nucleotide ribosomal RNA is filed under the name uncultured Staphylococcus sp. Its description in RNAcentral is "bacterial SSU rRNA". It matches the Rfam family "Bacterial small subunit ribosomal RNA", at positions 67 to 778 of the family's 1533-position model. The record is from RNAcentral. Lineage: Bacteria; Bacillati; Bacillota; Bacilli; Caryophanales; Staphylococcaceae.
CGGACGAGAAGCUUGCUUCUCUGAUGUUAGCGGCGGACGGGUGAGUAACACGUGGAUAACCUACCCAUAAGACUGGGAUAACUUCGGGAAACCGGAGCUAAUACCGGAUAAUAUUUUGAACCGCAUGGUUCAAAAGUGAAAGACGGUCUUGCUGUCACUUAUAGAUGGAUCCGCGCUGCAUUAGCUAGUUGGUAAGGUAACGGCUUACCAAGGCAACGAUGCAUAGCCGACCUGAGAGGGUGAUCGGCCACACUGGAACUGAGACACGGUCCAGACUCCUACGGGAGGCAGCAGUAGGGAAUCUUCCGCAAUGGGCGAAAGCCUGACGGAGCAACGCCGCGUGAGUGAUGAAGGUCUUCGGAUCGUAAAACUCUGUUAUUAGGGAAGAACAUAUGUGUAAGUAACUGUGCACAUCUUGACGGUACCUAAUCAGAAAGCCACGGCUAACUACGUGCCAGCAGCCGCGGUAAUACGUAGGUGGCAAGCGUUAUCCGGAAUUAUUGGGCGUAAAGCGCGCGUAGGCGGUUUUUUAAGUCUGAUGUGAAAGCCCACGGCUCAACCGUGGAGGGUCAUUGGAAACUGGAAAACUUGAGUGCAGAAGAGGAAAGUGGAAUUCCAUGUGUAGCGGUGAAAUGCGCAGAGAUAUGGAGGAACACCAGUGGCGAAGGCGACUUUCUGGUCUGUAACUGACGCUGAUGUGCGAAAGCGUGGGGAUCAAACAGGAU